GACGAACGCUGGCGGCGUGCUUAACACAUGCAAGUCGAGCGGUAAGGCCCUUUCGGGGGUACUCGAGCGGCGAACGGGUGAGUAGCACGUGAGUAAUCUGCCCCUGGCUUUGGGAUAGCCACCGGAAACGGUGAUUAAUACCGGAUACGACCACUUCUCGCAUGGGAUGGUGGUGGAAAGUUUUUCGGCCAGGGAUGUGCUCGCGGCCUAUCAGCUUGAUGGUGAGGUAAUGGCUCACCAUGGCUUCGACGGGUAGCCGGCCUGAGAGGGUGACCGGUCACACUGGGACUGAGACACGGCCCAGACUCCUGCGGGAGGCAGCAGUGGGGAAUAUUGGACAAUGGGCGGAAGCCUGAUCCAGCAACGCCGCGUGAGGGAUGACGGCCUUCGGGUUGUAAACCUCUUUCAGCAGGGACGAAGCGCAAGUGACGGUACCUGCAGAAGAAGCACCGGCCAACUACGUGCCAGCCGCCGCAGUAA
This 480-nucleotide ribosomal RNA is filed under the name uncultured bacterium. Its description in RNAcentral is "partial 16S ribosomal RNA". It matches the Rfam family "Bacterial small subunit ribosomal RNA", at positions 28 to 523 of the family's 1533-position model. The record is from RNAcentral.